GAUGAACGCUGGCGGCGUGCCUAAUACAUGCAAGUCGAGCGAACGGACGAGAAGCUUGCUUCUCUGAUGUUAGCGGCGGACGGGUGGGUAACACGUGGAUAACCUACCUAUAAGACUGGGAUAACUUCGGGAAACCGGAGCUAAUACCGGAUAAUAUUUUGAACCGCAUGGUUCAAAAGUGAAAGACGGUCUUGCUGUCACUUAUAGAUGGAUCCGCGCUGCAUUAGCUAGUUGGUAAGGUAACGGCAUACCAAGGCAACGAUGCAUAGCCGACCUGAGAGGGUGAUCGGCCACACUGGAACUGAGACACGGUCCCGACUCCUACGGGAGGCCGCCGUAGGGAAUCUUCCGCCAUGGGCGAAAGCCUUACGGCGCACCGCCGCGUGAGUGAUGGAGGUCUUCCGAUCGUAAAACUCUGUUAUUAGGGAAGAACAUAUGUGUAAGUAACUGUGCACAUCUUGACGGUACCUAAUCAGAAAGCCACGGCUAACUACGUG
RNAcentral lists this ribosomal RNA (497 nucleotides) under uncultured bacterium. Its description in RNAcentral is "partial 16S ribosomal RNA". It matches the Rfam family "Bacterial small subunit ribosomal RNA", at positions 28 to 507 of the family's 1533-position model. The record is from RNAcentral.